Molecule: long non-coding RNA, 2250 nt
Organism: Chenopodium quinoa (quinoa)
Lineage: Eukaryota; Viridiplantae; Streptophyta; Magnoliopsida; Caryophyllales; Amaranthaceae
Exons: 7
Source: RefSeq, a predicted model, not a curated record
GUUGCCCCCAUUUCUCUCUCUUACCUGCUUUUGCUUCUCCUCAGUCCUCAUCCUCACAUCUCCUGCUUUGAUUUUGCUUUAUUUCAUUUUUUAUCUUCAACCAAUCCAACUGAUCAGUUUUGUUUGCUCACAGCCUUCUCGAUACUUCUCUUAUGGUUUGGUUUUUGUGGCCAUUUCUCAGGUUUGGGUCCAACAAUGGUUGGGAUGCUGAGUUUUGUAAAUUUUUGUUAUUCUGAUUUUUCUGUCAAUGGGAUGCCCUAGCUGUUACACCUCGCAUUCCUCUCUCUCCUCAUCACCACCAUCGGAUUUCCUCUCGCUCAUUUCCAGCGUUCAUCUCCGACGCUCCUAUCAACCUCUUCGUCUUCGCCGCUCUCUCACCUGCUCCGCUAUUUCUUCUCCUUCUCUUGAAGUGAUGAUGGGAAAAUGGCACUUGGAAGACUAUGUGCACUUUGUGAGCAGAAAGGGGGAUAUCUCAAGAUAUUUAGUGAAUCAGAAAUCACUUGAUCAUUCUCAACCAUUUAGUGGAUUGAAUUUUUUAACUAAUGAAGUGGGUGCUUAUUUUGCUGUAAGGGGACCAUUUGUCUUCAAUGGAGAUGUUUAGUAUGUUUUCAUUACAUAUUAUUCUAAGAUUAUAAUUUAUUAGUUAUCUUAUUUACGAGGAAAAGAAAACGGAAUCAAAUUAAUGUGCAAUUUGAUUAUUUUGUAGAAUUGGGUUUCGAAGGAAGUCCGUCAAUGGUGAUUGUAAAUUUUACUAUGCUUCUAGGCAAUUCCCCUUAUUUCUCCUCCUCCGAUCGUGCUUAUUGUAACUCUCGGGUUGUGUCAGUCUGCUCAACAUGAACCUACCUGCAGCAAGCUACGCAGCCAAGAACUUCUUCCAAAGGUUUAAUUGCCACAGAGUUGAAAAAGAGAACAGCAACAGGAUGGAUAUGAAAUCACAUCCUGGAAAAUUAAAUCCUGAUAGUGACAAGUGCAGGUGAAGAUCUCUAAUAUAAAUGCUCCCCUAAUUUGUCAUUUGCAACUUAAUAAAUUUAUUUUUGAUGCAAGUAUAACAAGUGGCAGCAGAAGUGUAGGGUAUGAGAGUCCUUCGUGAGAUCGGCUUGUGUAUCUGACAACCUGUGUAAUCGGAUAUCAUGUAAAGUCCAGGUUAAAAUGGAUAGGUGUAAUAUGGAAUUUUCCAUGCUGCAAGUGCCGAUAAAGAUUUUGGGGCUGUCUUGAAAAUGGCUCGAUUGGUAAAGGAUGUCUCUCUUAAGGCACAAAAGGUUACCUCUGAUUCAGCUGUCAAGGCUCCAUAAAAAAACUCUUAUAAUACCAGCUAAUUUGUGCAAAUUGUGGCUAAGGUCUUCGUCCGCACUCUUCAUGUUAUAGGUUUCUAUGUACAGGAAAUGUAUGAUUGAAUCAGGUAUAAAUUAUUGUUUAUUUAAUUGAAUAAGGGAUUUACCAUGAUUGGCCAGCAAUAUUGGUGUUAUGCGGCCUGUGGUGGUGAGUAUACUCUAAUAAGACAUGGCCUUUGCUUGAAGGGAUUUUCCCUUUCUUAAAUUAGGUGCGAGAUUAGGUGGGGGAAUUGGAAGGAUGAAUUUGGCUUUGUGUUAGCUGACAUUUUGAAGCAAUAUGAAAUAUUUUUCGAUGAUUUAUUACUCUACGCACUAAUUUUUUAGGUUAAUUCCAGUGUGGGUACAUGUGGUUUCAAACAAUAUAUGUGAAUUUUAAGCUGCUACUUUCUGUGUUUAUGCUUUUCUGAUUUUGUAGGAUUUUUGCUACUUUGUAUUUUGAUUACAGAUAAUUAAUGUUCAUGGGGCAUUAAAAUAAAUAAUCUGUUCUGAAAUGGGCUUUUCCUUUCUAAAAUUAGGUGGGGGAUUGGAAGGAUGAAUUUGGCUUCAUGUUAGCUGACAUUUUGAAGCAAAAUAAAGUAAAUAAUUCAGGCAUGAGAUUUGAGCCUGCGGGCAAAUGAGGAGAUCGAGAAGGAGGCUCUUUACCGAGUUCAAGCUCAAAAAAAUUCUGAAAAGUCAAAAGAGUUCAAGCUCUUCACUCUUUUGUGGGGUGUGCUGCAGAACAACGUCAUUGAUGCUUUGUGUUAAAUCUUGUAUUUUAUAACUUAAGUAGCAAUUACAUUUGAGUGAACAUGUGCAAUUUUUCAUGAUUUCCCCUCCUUUUUCCCUUCUGCAUUGUUAUGAGAAUUUCCUUAACAUAGUUAGUAAUUGAAAUUGAAGUAGCAUUCAUUAUUAUUAAAGGAUUGUAGAGUUAAUAUUUUUC